UGCUUGGGAAUAUGCCUUGUGGUGGGGGACAACAGUUGGAAACGACUGCUAAUACCGCAUAACCUCUUCGGAGUAAAGUGGGGGACCUUCGGGCCUCACGCCAUUAGAUUAGCCCAAGUGAGAUUAGCUAGUUGGUAGGGUAAAGGCUUACCAAGGCGACGAUCUCUAGCUGGUUUGAGAGGAUGAUCAGCCACACUGGGACUGAGACACGGCCCAGACUCCUACGGGAGGCAGCAGUGGGGAAUAUUGCACAAUGGGGGAAACCCUGAUGCAGCCAUGCCGCGUGUGUGAAGAAGGCCU
RNAcentral lists this ribosomal RNA (300 nucleotides) under uncultured Colwelliaceae bacterium. RNAcentral's name for it is "bacterial SSU rRNA". It matches the Rfam family "Bacterial small subunit ribosomal RNA", at positions 114 to 417 of the family's 1533-position model. Lineage: Bacteria; Pseudomonadati; Pseudomonadota; Gammaproteobacteria; Alteromonadales; Colwelliaceae. The record is from RNAcentral.